RNAcentral lists this ribosomal RNA (499 nucleotides) under uncultured bacterium. Its description in RNAcentral is "partial 16S ribosomal RNA". It matches the Rfam family "Bacterial small subunit ribosomal RNA", at positions 899 to 1397 of the family's 1533-position model. The record is from RNAcentral.
ACUCAAAGGAAUUGACGGGGGCCCGCACAAGCGGUGGAGCAUGUGGUUCAAUUCGACGCAACGCGAAGAACCUUACCUGGGCUCGAACGGCUCACGAAAAGCUGUGGAAACACGGUUUUCCCGCAAGGGACGGGAGUCGAGGUGCUGCAUGGCUGUCGUCAGCUCGUGUCGUGAGAUGUUGGGUUAAGUCCCGCAACGAGCGCAACCCUUGUCCUGUGUUGCCAUCAUUUAGUUGGGAACUCGCAGGAGACCGCCAGCGAUAAGCUGGAGGAAGGUGGGGAUGACGUCAAGUCCUCAUGGCCUUUAUGUCCAGGGCUACACACGUGCUACAAUGGACGGUACAAAGCGCUGCCAACCCGCAAGGGGGAGCCAAUCGCAAAAAACCGUUCUCAGUUCGGAUUGCAGGCUGCAACUCGCCUGCAUGAAGCUGGAAUCGCUAGUAAUGCCGUAUCAGAACGAUGGCGUGAAUACGUUCCCGGGCCUUGCACACACCGCCCGU